This is a long non-coding RNA of Myotis myotis, 355 nucleotides long. RefSeq lists it as uncharacterized. The record is from RefSeq and is a predicted model, not a curated record. Lineage: Eukaryota; Metazoa; Chordata; Mammalia; Chiroptera; Vespertilionidae. The transcript is spliced from 4 exons.
AUAAAAACACAGUGUCUUAAGAACCUCAAUGAACUUGUACAAAAAAGAAAACUGUAACAAGGAUCAUGUAUUAAAACUGCUACAGGUUGAGCAUCUUUUAUGGUGCUUUUUUAGUCAACUUUUUUUUUUUAGAUGUUGAUAUUUGGUUUCAACACACUAUUCAGUUAACAGAAGUGAUAUAAGCCACUUAUCCAAAACAGGCACAAUGACAAUAGAAAAAUAUCAGAAAACAACUGGACAAUAACUGAAAAAGCAGAAAAACUUGGCAUCCAGAUGCAUUUGAGCCAGCCGUAAUCCAGGAAAUGUCAAAAAAGCCCCAAUGAGUGAACAGAAAAUAGCCAGGAAAAAUUUGAAC